CUAUGUAAUUCUUUAUAUAAAGGGCACCUAUCAAUAAAUAAAAUAAUAAUUCUCUAUUCUCUUUGUUAUCUCUCAUUGUCUUUACAUUAGUGGGUCUCGGCAUCCCCUUGGCAGCCCUAAGCGGGUCUCGGCGGCCCUAGGCUGGUCUCGACAGUCCUUUGGCGGGUCUAGGCUGUCCUAAACAGGUGUAAACAGUCCUUACACGGGUCCUAAUGUAACACUCUGACCCGGAUUUAAUUCAAGAAAUACAACUCAUUUCAUAAAGCAAAUAUAGCAAAGAACUUCAAUUUAGACUUCAGAAUUUACCUUCAAGGAUUCUAUUUAUGUGAAUCCAUAAAUUACGAAGUCGCCAGAGGACAUUGAACCCUCGCCAGACAAUUCCUUGAGCCUUAAUUAAUCGAUUCUCACUCACCAUAUAUUGUUUGGAGAAACCAAGACCAGCUGCCUUUGUUGCCAAAAUCCGAACAACCUGAUCGAAGACAUUGCUAUCUUCUCUCCUUCGAUUCUCUGUCAUCGGAGUUUCUCAUUGAAAGACGAAGACCACAACGAGGCAAAGGUUUGGCCACCGAUGUGACGUUGUGGGACAUUCGAACGACGGAUAAGGGAUCCGAGCUCCAUCGAUGCUCCCAAUGAGGAGGUUAAAGCUUUCUCCCCUUAAAUAAAUCACGAUUCUUCAGUUCUAGAGAGGGAGGGAGAGGGUUAGUACGUGAAGGUGGUUCUCCUUCCCUGAAGAGAGAGUUCUCCAAAUCCCCCUAAAAAGAUGAGGUCGGUGAAAUAUAUAACUGAGAAGGUCGGUGCCAUUCUCUUCUUCCUCCCUUUUCUCAAAUCUUCUCAACCUUUCCAAAUUAAUUUAAUAUUUUUUUUUUCAUAUAAAGUAUUUAUUUAUUAUUUCUAAAUUAUCCGGGUAUUAUACCUAAGCAGGUCUAGGCGACCUCUUAACGGCCCUAAAUGGGUCUCGGCAUCACCUUGGCGGCCUUAGACAGGUAUCGACAGACCCUUGGCGAGUCUAGGCGCUCCUAAGCGGGUCUAGCUGGUCUCGACGUGGAUCUAAGAGGGUUAAGGCGGUCCCUUGGUAGGUCAAGGCGGGUCAAAGCGGCCCUUUGAGGCCGUCAGGGGGUCAAGGCGGCCCCUAAGCGGGUCAAGCCAGGUCAAGGCGGGUCAACGCAGUCCAAGACUGUUCAAGGCAACCCCUUAACGAGUCAAGGCGGCCCAAGGUGGGUCAAGGCGACCCAAGACGGUUCAAGGCAGCCCCUUAAUGGGUUAAGGCGGGUCUAGGCAGGUCAAGGCUGACACGACCCACCCCGAAUUUCACCCUGAAACCCGGAGUAAGUCGUGCGGGGACCACCUCCAAGGAAAAUUUACUGAAAAGAUUAAGAAAAUCUCCCUUGCAGAUGGACAACCCUAACUCGAAAAUUUCAUAUUACACUCUUAAUUCAACACUUCCGAACAUCACAUAAUUAUCCUUCAGAAAUUCUACACAUAAUAUACAAUAAUCCCAAAGUAUUCAGAGCUACUAAACACAAGCGGAAGCAAAAAAACACGAGUAGGUUGAACAGGUAACCUACUGACGAAAACUGGCAGAAAUGCGGGUGACUAUGCCUCGCCUCCUACUAGAUCCAACCCGAACUCUGCAGACUGGGCAAUUUAAAACGAAGGGCCCAGGGGAAAACAUUUAAUAACGUUAGAGUGAGUGGACAAAAAUAAAAUAAUAAAUAAAUUAUUUAUGUUUCCCCAAAUUAAUUUCUAAGGAAAAAUCGAAUGCAUGCCGCAAGCGAUAAAACUUUUAUCUCAUAAAAUAUCGAGCCUCCUAGACUCUAUAAUAUAUGUAUGUAUUUACACUCGUCCAUACUCCCUAUAUAAAUUCAUGGGUCUAUAUAGGGCUACUACGCUCGCGUCCAACGCUCACGUCACGCCUUAAUGCGGNNNNNNNNNNNNNNNNNNNNAUAAAUACAUAUUUAUAUCCACCGAAAUCCCAUUUUCGGUAACUCUCCAAGAGAAAUAAAAUCGUCAAAUUUAAAAUGACGUUAAAAUAUUCCGCAACAUUAAUUGUUCAACCAUGAACUAUAGCAUGCAUUUAUUUAAAAUAAACGUCCACUCACAAAUUUGGCCUAAGCCUGAUGUCGAUCUGGGGCCUCGUCUGCUCGAGCCUCCUCACGUCCUGUUUCAAAUAUAAUAUUAAUUUCCCAACCAAUAAUCCAAUAUUUAAUCAAAAUAGGCAAAAUUACCCGAGAGCCAUAAAUACGCUCAUCAUUGCCUAACUUCGAUAUUCUUAAAUCGGAACGAUCCGAACUUAAAUAUCAUACUCAACAGUCGUAAAUACAACAUCUCCAAAAUACGACUUAAAUCCUACGGCCGGAUUCUACAUUAAUUAACCGCCAAAAAUACCAAACUUCGGAAAUUCACAAACCUAUCCAAAUCUCAUCCAAAAAUUCCAUAAAUCACAUCAAUAUACUCCUCUUAAUAUUCCACACUUAAAACCAUAAAAAUCUUCUAACCGGCGGCUCCGCUGGCAGCAGCGGCUGAAGGCCAAUUCCGGCGACCUCCAAAAUCUAUGAAAUUUUGACAGAAUAAUCCUCUCAUCAUGCUCUACAACUUUCCUAAUUAGUACAAACACCAAUUCCAAGCCUAACUAGGGUAAUCGACUAAAAAUAUCAAAAACGCCAUAAAACUUCCACCUCAAAUUUCUCCUUACCUAGCUCAAAAGGGAGUGAGUCCUUUUAGGGCAAGGCUGCUGGGUUGGAGGGCUACAAAACUGUACCAAGCUUGCCCGGAUUGGUGGCCGGAGGAGGGAGUUCCGGCGACCGGAAGUUCGGGGCAGCCUAGCCUUUCGGGCGGCACCGCUCUCUCAAGGCGGCGCUAGGGGGGCUGUCACCGGUCUUGGAAGAUAGUUGGGUCGGAGACCGAUCGAUUGGGACCGGUGCGGCGGUCUGGGGCGGCCGGACGGCGGCGGUCUGGCGGUCGGAAAACCGGACAGCGGGAGGGGCUCGGGAGAGAGAGAACCGGGAGGAGAAAAGAGAGGAAAAAGAGAAAAGAAAAGAUGGGCCUCUACACCCGGUCCAACAACCUUAUAUACCAAAACCCAAUCUAAAAUUUACACCCCAAAAUAAUACCCUAAUAAAAAUUACCUUUUACUAGCUAAAAUUUACCAUUUUUACCGUCGACAUAAUUUCCUCCCACGAAUAAUCCUCCGCACAGUAAUCGUCCCCGAAACCCCUCUAGGGACCAAUUAAACUAUUAACUCAAUGAUCAAGACGGUAAAAUUCUUAUUAUAAUCACGCUAGUAUAUAAGGUAAAAAUAUAAGGGUCGGGAUGUGACAAAGGCGGCCCAAGGCAUGUCAAGGCGGCCCAAGGCGGGUCAAGACGGCCACUUGGCGGUCCUAAGCGGGUCAAAGCGGGUUAAGGCGACCCAAGGCGGGUCAAGGCGGGUUAAGGCAGGUCAAGGCAGCUUAAGUCGAUUCAAGGCAGCCCCUUAACAGGUCAAGGCGGCCCAACGCGGGUCAAGGUGGCCUAAGGCGGGUCAAGGAGUCCCAAGCGGGCCUAGGAGAGUCAAGGUAGCCCUUAACGGGUCAAGGCGGGUCAAGACAACCCAAGCCAGCCCAAUGGGGCCCUAGUUGUGUCUUGGCGGGUCAAGACAGCCCUUGUUGGGUCAAGGUGACCCUAGGCGGUCGUAGGAGGGUCAAGGAAGCCCCCUUAACGGGUGAACCAAGGCGGGCCUAGAAGGGUCAAAGCAGCCCCGUGGUGGCCCUGGAUGGGUCAAGACGGCCUCUGAACGACCUUAGGUGGGUCAAGGCGGCCCCUUGGUGGCUUUAGACAGGUCUUGGCAGCCCCUUGACGGGUUAAGAGAGGUUAAAGCAGCCUAAAACGUGUAAAGGCAGCCCCUUGGUGGGGGCUCAAGACAGCCACUUGGGGGCCCUAAGCGGGUCAAGGUGGGGCAAGGCGGCCUAAGACGGGGCAAGGCUGGUCAAAGCGGCCACUUGAAGGCCCAAGACUGCCCCUUGGCGGCCCUAGGCGGGUCACGACGGCCCUUUGGUUGUCCAAAACGGGUCUUGGCAGCUCCUUGGUGGGUCAAGGCGGCCCCUUGGUGUCCUUAUACCGGUCUCGGCCCUAGUUGAGUCUUGACGGGCCUAAGGGAGGUCAAAGCGGCCCUAGGUGUGUAAAGGCAGCCCCUUGGCGGGUUAAGGCGACCUUAGGCGGGCCUAAAAGGGUCAAGACAGCCACUUGACGGGUCAAGGUGGCCCAAGAUGGGUCAAGGCAGCCUAAAACGGUUCAAGGCAGCCCCAUAACAUGUCAAGGCGGGUCAAAACGACCCAAGACGAUUCAAGGUAGCCCCUUAACGGGCCAAGGCGGGUCAAGACGAGUAAGGGCGGUCCAAGGCGGGUCAAGACGGCCACUUGGCGGUCCUAAGCUGGACAAGGCGGGUUAAGGCGGCCUAAGGCAGGUCAAGGCGGCCCAAGACGGUUCAAGACAGCCCCUUAACAGGUCAAGGUGGCCCAAGACGGGUUAAAGCGGCCCAAGGCGUGUCAAGGCAGCCCAAGACGGGUCAAGAUGGCCACUUGGCGGCCCUAAACGGGUUAAGGCGGCCCAAGGUGGGGCAAAGCGGCCCAAGGCAGGCCAAAGGCGGGUCACGACAGCUCCAUAACGGAUCAAGGUGGCCCAAGGCGACAGAAAACGGCCCCUUGGUGGCUAUAGGCAGGUCACGACUGCCCCUUGGUGGUGCUAAACGGGUCUUGGUAUCCCCUUAGUGGGUCAAGGCGGCCCCUUGGUGGCCGUAGACGGGUCUUGGCAGCCCCUUGGCGGGCUAAGAGAGGUUAAAGCAGCCUAAAACGUGUAAAGGUAGCCCUUUGGCGGGCCUAGAAGGCCCCUUGGCGGGUCAAGGUUGCCCAAGGCUGGUCAAGACGGCCACUCUGCGGCCUAAUGCGGGUCAAGGCUCGUUAAAGCAGCCAAAGGCGAGGCAAGAUGGCCACUUGGCGGCCUCAAAACGGGUCAAGGCAGCCUAAGAUGGUUCAAGGCAGCCCGUUGACGGGUCAAGACAGCCCAAGGCAGGUCAAGGCGACACAUGGUGGGUCAAGGCGGCCCAAGACGGGUCAAGAUGGCCACUUGGCGGCCCUAAGUGGGUCAAGGCGGCCUUAAGCGGGGCAAGACUGGUCAAGGCGGGUUAAGACGGGCCAAGGCGAGUCACGGUAGCCCCUUAACGGAUCAAGGCGGUCCAAAACGGGUCAAGGCGGCGCAAAAAGGGUUAAGCCGGCCACUUGGCGACCCAAAGCGGGUCAAAGCGGCCUAAGAGGGGUUAAGCCGGCCACUUGGCUCCCCAAGACAGCCGAAAACGGCCUUUGGCGGCUAUAGGCAAGUUACGGCAGCCCCUUGGUGGCGUUAAACGGGUCUUGGUAUCCCCUUAGCAGGCCAAGACGGCCCCUUGGUGGCCCUAGAUGGGUAUUGGCAGUCCCUUGGUGGGUUAAGGGAGGUUAAAGCGGCCUAAAGCGUGUAAAGGUAGCCCCUUGGCGGGUCAAUGCGGCCCAAGGCGGGUCAAAGCAGCCACUUGACGGCCCAAGAUGGCCCUUUGGUGGCCUUAGGCGGGUCACAACGGUCCCUUGGUGGUCUAAAACGGGUCUUGAUAGCUCCUUGGUGGGUCAAGACGACCCCUUGGUGUUCUUAGACGGGUCUUGGCAGCCCCUUGGCGGGUCAAGCCGGCCCUAGUUGAGUCUUGGCGGGCCUAAGGGUGGUCAAAGCGACCUUAGGUGUGUAAAGGCAACCCCUUGGCGGGUUAAGACGGCCCCUUGGACGGUCAAGGCGACCCUAGGCGGGCCUAAAAGGUCAAGGCAGCCACUUAACGGUUUAAGGCGGCCCAAGGCGGGUCAAGGCAGCCCAAAAUUGUUCAAGACGGCCAGUUGGCGGCCCAAAGCUGGAUAAGGCGGGUUAAGGUGGACCAUGGUGGGUCAAGGCGGCCUAAGUCUGGUCAAGGCAACCGUAAACGGUUCAAGCCAGCCCCUUAACAAGUUAAGGCAGCCCAAGGCGGCCUAAAGCGGGUCAAGACGGCUACUUGGCGGCCCUAAGCGGGUUAAGGCGGCCAAAAGUGGCCCGAGGAGGGUCAAGACGGCCACUUGGCGGCCUUAGGCGUGUCAAAGUGGGUUAAGGCGGCCUAAGUCGGAUUAAGGCUGCCGAAGACGGUUCAAGCCAACCCCUUAACGGGUUAAGGCGGCCCAAGGCGGGUCAAGACGGUCAGUUGGCGGCCCUAAGCGGGUUAAGGUGGCCAAAGGCGGGGCAAAGCGGCCUAAGGUGAGGCAAGGCUGGUCAAGGUGGGCCAAGGCGAGUCACGACAGCCCUUAACGGGUCAAGGCGGCCCAAAACGGGUCAUGACGGCCCAAAGCGGGUUAAGGCGACAACUUGGCGGCCCUUUGGCGACUAUAGGCAAGUCACGGCGACCCCUUGGCGGCGCUAAAUGGGUCUAGGUAUCCCCUUAGCGGGUCAAGGUAGCCUCUUGGUGGCCAUAGACAGGUUUUGGCAGCCCGUUGGCGGGUUAAUGGAGGUUAAAGCGGUGUAAAGCGUGUAAAGGUAGCCUAGCCCUUUGGCAGGUUAAGGCGGCCCAAAGCGGGUCAAGACGGGCCAAGGCGGUCAAGACGGCCCAAAGUGGGUCAAGGUGGGUCCAGGCAGGUCAAGGCGGCCCAAGGCGGGUCUCGGCAGGUCAAGGCGGCCCAAGACGGCCUAAGGCGGGUCAAGACGGCCACUUAGCGGUCCUAAGCGGGUUAAGGUGGCCCAAGGCGGGUCAAGUCGGCCCAAGGCGGGGCAAAGUGGCCCAAGACGGGGUAAAGCUGAUCUAGGCGGCCCAAGGCAGGGCAAGGCGGGUCACGACAUCCCCUUAACGGGUCAAGGAGGGUUAAGGCGGCCCUAAGCGGGUCAAUACGGGUUAAGGCGGACCAAAACGGGUUCAAGGCGGGUGAAGACGGCCCAAAUGCGGGUCAAGGCAGCCCAGGACGAGUUAAGGCAGCCCAAGACGAGUUAAGGUAGCCUAAGACGUGCCAAGGCGGCCCAAAGCGGGGUCAAGACGGUCAUUUGGGGCCCUAAGCAGGUCAAAGCGGGUUAAGGCGGCCCAAGGCAGGUUAAGACGGCCACUUGGCAGCCCUGAGCUAGACAACGCGGGUUUAGGCGGACCAGUGCGGGUUAAGGCGGCCCAAGACGUGUCAAGGCGACCCACGACGUGUCAAGGCGGCCCAAGGCAUGGCAAAGCGGCCCUUUGGCGGGUCAAGGCAGCCACUUGACUGCCCUAAGCGGGUUAAGGCGGCCCAAGGCGGGUUAAGGCGGGGCAAAGCGGCCCAAGGCGGGGUAAGGCUGAUCAAGGCGGCCCAGGGCGGGUCAAAGCGGGACAAGACGGGUCACGGCAGCCCCUUAACUGGUCACGGUGGCCCUAGGCGGGUACACGGCGCCCUAAAGGCGGCGUCCAAGGGCGGGUCAAGACGGCCCAAGACGGUUUAAGGCAGCCCUUUAACGGGUCAAGGCGGCCCAAGGUGGGUCAAGGCGGCCCAAGACGUGUCAAGACGGCCCAAAGCGUGGCAAGGCAGCCCUUUGGCGGGUCAAGGCAGCCAUUUGGCGACCCAAGGCGGGUCAAGGGGGGGCAAAGCGGCCCAAGGUGAGGCAAGGCUGGUCAAGGCAGCCCAAGACGGGUCAAGGUGGGCCAAGGCGGGUUACGGCAGCCCUUUAACUGGUUAAGGCGGCCCAAGGCGGGUCAAGGCGCCCCAAAGCGGCUUAAGGCGAGUCAAGGCGGCCCAAGAUGGUUCAGAGCAGCCCCUUAACGGGUCAAGGCGGCCCAAGGCGGGUUUAGACAGGUCAAGGCGGCCCAAGGUGUGUUAAGGCGCCCCUUAACGGGUCAAGGUGGCCCAAGGCGCGUUAAGACGGCCACUUGGCGGCCAUAAGCGUGUUAAUACAGCCCAAGGCAGGUAAAGGCAGCCCAAGACGGAGAAAAGCGGCCCAAGGCAGGGCAAGGCUGGUCAAGGCGGGGCAAAGCGGCCAAAAGCGGGUUAAGGCGGGCCAAGGCGGGUCACGACAAGGUAGCCCUCAAGGAGUCAAGGUUGGUUAAGGCGGCCCUAAACGGGUCAAAGCGGGUUAAGGCUGCCCAAGGCGGGUCAAGGUGGCCGCUUGGCGGCCUUAAGUGCGGCCCAAGACGGGUCAAGACGGCCACUUGGUGGCCCUAAGAGGGUUAAGGCAGGGCAAAGCGGCCCAAGACGGGGCCAGGCUGAUUAAGGCAGCCCAAGACGUGUCAAGGCGGGCCAAAGCGGCUCACGGCAGCCCCUUAACAUGUCAAGACGGCCUAAGGCGGGUUAAGGCGGCUCAAAGAGGGUCAAGGCGGCCACUUGGCAGCCCAAGACGGCCCCUUAGCGGCUAUAGGCAUGUCACGGCGGCCCUUUGGCUGCCCUAGAUGGGUCUUGGCAGCCCAUUAGCGGGUUAAGGGAGGUUAAAACGGCAUAAAGAGUGUAUAGGUAGCCUUUUGGCUGGUCAAGGCGGGUCAAGGCAGCCUAAGGCGGUUCAAGGCAGCCCCUUAAUGGGUCAAGGCGGCCCAAGGCGGGUCAAGGCUGGUCAAGGUGGCCCAAGGCUGGUCAUGGAGUCCCAAGCGGGGCUAGGAGGGUCAAGGUAGCCCUUAACGGGUCAACGCGGGUCAAGACAGCCCAAGGUGGCCCUAGUUGUGUCUUGGCGGGACAAGACGGCCCUUGGCGGGUCAAGGUGACCCUAGGCGGUCGUAGGAGGGUCAAGGAAGCCCCUUUAACGGGUGAACCAAGGCGGGCCUAGAAGGGUCAAAACGGCCCCUUGGUGGCCCUAGACGGGUCAAUGCGGCCUCUUAACGACCUUAGGCGGGUCAAAGCGGCUCUUUGGAUGCUCUAGAUAGGUCUUGUCAGCCCCUUGGCGGGCCUAAAAGGCCCCUUCACGAGUCAAGGCGGGUCAAGAUGGCCACUUGGCAGCCCUAGGCGGGUCAGUGCGGCCCCUUGGUUGUCCAAAACGGGUCUUGGUAGCUCCUUGGUGGGUCAAGGCGGCCCCUUGGUGUCCUUAUACGGGUCUUGGUCCUAGUUGAGUCUUGGCGGGCCUAAGGGAGGUUAAAGCCACCCUAGGCGUGUAAAGGCAGCCCCUUGGCAGGUUAAGGCGAGCCUAGGCGGGCUUAAAAGAGUCAAGGCAACCACUUAACGGGUCAAGGAGGCCUAAGACGAGUCAACGCAGCCCAAGACAGUUCAAGGCAGCCCUUAACGGGUCAAGGGCGGCCCAAGGCGUAUCAAGGCGGCCCAAGGUGGGCCUAUGGGAGGUCAAAGCGGCCCUAGGCAUGUAAAGGCAGCCCUGUUGACCCGCCUUGGGCCGUCUUGACCCUUCUUGGGCCAACUUGGACCGCUUUGACCUGCCUUAACCCGCUUUGGGCCGCCUUCACCCUUCUUGACCUUCCUAGACCCUCCAAGGAGACCCUUUGACCCGCCUUGAUCCACCUUAACCCGCCUUGGCACCUUUACCCUUCUAAACCCGCCAAGGGGCCACCUUGACUCGCACAAGGCUGCCUUGACCCUCUUAGGCCUGCCUAGGGUUUCCAAGGGGUCGCCUUAACCCACCAAGAGGCCGCUUUAACCCUCAUAGGGCCGCUAAGGGGUUUCCUAGACCUUCUUAGACCCAUCUAAGGGCAUCAAGGGGCCGCCUUGACCUGUCUAGGGCCUCCAAAGGGUCGCCUUGACUCGCCCAGGGCUGCCUUGACCCGCCUUGACUCUCCUAGACCCUCCAAGGGGCCGCCUUGAUCUGCCUUAACCCACCUUAACCCGCCCAUGGUUGCUUUAACCCUUUUAAGCCCGCCAAGGGCCACCAAGGGGCCGCCAUGACCCUCUUAGGGCCGCCAAGAGGCCACCUUAACGCAUUUAGGGCCGCGAUGGCCUGUCAUGGGCCACCUUGACCCGCCUUGGCCGCCUUGACACUGAUACGGGCGCCAAGAUGUCGCCUUAACCAAUCUAAGGCCGACAAGGGGCUGCCUUGACCGGCCUUGGCCCGCCUUGACCCGCCUUGACCCGCCUCUGGCCGCCUUGACCCUCAUAGGGCCGUCUUGAC
Molecule: long non-coding RNA, 10059 nt
Filed under: Fragaria vesca (wild strawberry)
Lineage: Eukaryota; Viridiplantae; Streptophyta; Magnoliopsida; Rosales; Rosaceae
Description: long non-coding RNA (FVES_LNC002740)
Source: RNAcentral